Molecule: non-coding RNA, 102 nt
Organism: Exophiala xenobiotica
Lineage: Eukaryota; Fungi; Ascomycota; Eurotiomycetes; Chaetothyriales; Herpotrichiellaceae
Source: the annotation of a RefSeq genome assembly
UCCCCGAUGGUGUAACGGUUAACAUCGCUGGUUUUCAUAAUAAGAAAAUCCCAAGUGUGAAAUACCACCCAGCAGCCCCGGGUUCGACUCCCGGUCGAGGAA